UUCGUAGGCGGUGCGGUAAGUCGGAAGUGAAAUCUCUGGGCUUAACCCAGAGGCUGCUUUCGAAACUGCCGUGCUAGAGUGCGGGAGAGGCGAGUGGAAUUGCAGGUGUAGCGGUGAAAUGCGUAGAUAUCUGCAGGAACACCCGUGGCGAAGGCGGCUCGCUGGACCGCAACUGACGCUGAGGAACGAAAGGCUAGGGGAAGCAAACA
This 209-nucleotide ribosomal RNA is filed under the name uncultured bacterium. Its description in RNAcentral is "partial 16S ribosomal RNA". It matches the Rfam family "Bacterial small subunit ribosomal RNA", at positions 568 to 774 of the family's 1533-position model. The record is from RNAcentral.